AUGUGGCUGCCCCCAGAGAACUGGUGAAGGAUGGCACAGGCAACUCAAGACUGUAUUUUCUACCCUUUUUGGUGCAUUUUCAGUAAUAUAAAGUUAAAACCAGAGAUCACAGGGAGAAGCUGUUUGGAAAUUUCCCCUUGUCUAGCACUGAGAGAGAGAAUCAUAGAAAGGGCACUCAUUGACAUCUAAUUAUCUAACAUCAAAGGUGCCCACUUCCUCAGGCUUUCCAACAUUUGAUUGAACUUAAGCUGGCCUUCAUUCAGCCUUUUUCAAGGCUGUUUGGCUAUGAGGGCCCAAGAACAGGCAAUGCAAGUCUGCCCUAUAUCUUGAUCUCUAUUAAUUUAAUCUAAUUGAUAUAACUGUAAUGUUGUGAGAUGCCUAGAUAUCUUUGAAUAAAAUGUAAAGACUAAAAUGUGUGAAGUAAACUGUUUUAUUUAUGCUGCUCACAUAGGUGAUCAAUAUAAUAGUGUGAUUGAAUGCUGAAUGAUUAGGCCUUUAGUUUUCAGUAAGUGGUAUUUAAAAAUAAAUCGACUCUUAGCUGUCUGAACUUCAGUUAGCAGAAACACCUGUGCAAAUCUGGGAUUCAGUUCUUUAAUUGAGCUUCAAGCUUUAUUAUAAGCACAAUUAAACUAAUUAUACAACCAGAUUAUCUAGACAUAAGAAACUUCUCCGUAACAUUCAUAUAAGAGGUUUUUGCAAUUUUGCAUUUCCUACUUUGUACACAUUAAUUUUCUAGGAGAGGCAUGCAAAUUUUAAUAUAUUUUAGAAAUAUUUUUAUAAUAUAUCUAAAAUAGCAAAUGAAAUACAGUGUCUCUUAGGUCUGUAGAAGACUAAGUGUUGCACUUAAAACUCUUUAAGUAUACAAAUAAUAAUGUACACAUUGGCAACUGCCAUAAUACAAUUUGUAGUAGCCCAUUUUGGCUGCUAUAACAAAAUUCCUUAAAAUGAGCAAAUUUAUAUUUAUAGAAUACAGCUAAAGCAGUGUUUAGAAGGAAAUUUAUAGCACUGAAUACCCACAGGAGAAAGAAGGAAAGAUCUAAAAUCAACACCCUAACACCACAAUUAAAGGAACUAGAGACACAAGAGCAAACAAAUUCAAAAGCCAGCAGAAGAUAAGAGAUAACUAAGAUCAAAGUAGAACUGAAGGAGAUAGAGACACAAAAAUCUCUUCAAAAAAAAUCAACAGGGGGAGAACUCAAGAUGGCGCUGUGAGAACAACCCAGGAUUGAAGCUCUCGCUGGACGCAUGGAGAGGGUGAGUCGGGGAAGCGUUUCCAGACGGAUCUUAGUUGCCCACAGAACGGGGAAAUUCCCAGGUAUAAAAGAGACAUGGGACGCCAGGCAGAGGUCUCUGCUGGCGUAGCUGGCAGCCGGUGCGGCUCCGGCCCGCGCCGGAGCGCAGAGGCGCUCCACAGUGCUCCAUACAAAAGCGCACUGUUAUGGGUGCCCUGUUGAACCGGCAAACUAAGACACGAGAAGGCUGAACUUGAGACUCAACGGGUCUUGAACUGUGACCCAGCCCAGGAAAUCCCAGGGACUCAGAGUUUGGUGGAGCGCAGUGUGACAAACAAAACGGCGAUUCCAAACGAUCCCAGUGAAUAGGUUUUUUUUUAAAGCGCAGCUCCGCAGGGGAGGGGCGUCAGCCAUUACUGAGGCAAUCAGCCCCUACUGAGGUACACGCCCAUUGCUGAGGCAGCCUGCCGCUGCUGAGGCAACCAGGUACAACAGAGAGACUCCGCCACAGGGCGUAGCCCGUG
RNAcentral lists this long non-coding RNA (1756 nucleotides) under Callithrix jacchus (white-tufted-ear marmoset). Its description in RNAcentral is "lncRNA (ENSCJAG00000072977.1)". The record is from RNAcentral. Lineage: Eukaryota; Metazoa; Chordata; Mammalia; Primates; Cebidae.